Molecule: ribosomal RNA, 468 nt
Filed under: uncultured bacterium
Lineage: Bacteria
Description: partial 16S ribosomal RNA
Rfam family: Bacterial small subunit ribosomal RNA
Source: RNAcentral
GACGAACGCUGGCGGCGUGCUUAACACAUGCCAGUCGAACGGAAAGGCCCUGCUUUUGUGGGGUGCUCGAGUGGCGAACGGGUGAGUAACACGUGAGUAACCUGCCCUUGACUUUGGGAUAACUUCAGGAAACUGGGGCUAAUACCGGAUAGGAGCUCCUGCUGCAUGGUGGGGGUUGGAAAGUUUCGGCGGUUGGGGAUGGACUCGCGGCUUAUCAGCUUGUUGGUGGGGUAGUGGCUUACCAAGGCUUUGACGGGUAGCCGGCCUGAGAGGGUGACCGGCCACAUUGGGACUGAGAGACGGCCCAGACGCCUACGGGAGGCAGCAGUGGGGAAUAUUACACAAUGGGCGGAAGCCUGAUGCAGCAACGCCGCGUGCGUGAUGACGGCCUUCGGGGGGUAAACCGAUGUGGCCUGUGACGAGGCGGGAGUGACGGUAAUGGGUAAAGAAGCAACGGCUAACUACGUG